CCUAGAUAUGAAGAAAGCGGAGAUGAAACUCGGAAAUACAUUGUCAAUGGCGUGGAAUUAAUAUAAUAGUUGUUAAUAAAACCAGGCAAUAAAGUAUAAACGAACGAACGAACGAAUUUCUCACAACUACCACGAACUGCAACGGUGGCUCAUUUUCAUUUGUUUGAAGUUUUACACAUCGUCCGUCAAUAUGUAGCCUCGAAGACAAAUGAGCAUCGUUGCACCGAUGCGCUAAAAUGUACACAAAGAAAGUAGGUGGCACAUUCAUUUCGCCGGGUGGCGUUACAUAAUGUCACGAAUAUUAUCUCUGCUCAAGGUGUGCCUUGGCACUACUCAAAUGAACUAUCGUCAUGUAACCAAUAACAGAAGGCAAGAUUUUAUAGUUUUGUCUGAUAAUCCUUUUUUAUCGGGGAAUGUUAUGAGUUAAAGUACAUCACACUACGAUACAUAGAAAGGUGAAAAAGGACCUAGACGGGUAAAGCAACGCGCGUAGUCUAGUGUAUUCUCGUAAAAUGACUUUUUUUUAAAAAUCGGUAAGCCUACUUACACAAAAUAAAUUUGUUUGAUUGACUGAUGAGAUUGGUAUAAGUAAAUUAUAACCUUUGUUCACAUUCAUUAUACGAAUAAAAUGC
This is a long non-coding RNA of Melitaea cinxia (Glanville fritillary), 632 nucleotides long. RefSeq lists it as uncharacterized. The record is from RefSeq and is a predicted model, not a curated record. Lineage: Eukaryota; Metazoa; Arthropoda; Insecta; Lepidoptera; Nymphalidae. The transcript is spliced from 2 exons.